CUGACAUCUCAGAACUCGAGA
This 21-nucleotide microRNA is filed under the name Anolis carolinensis (green anole). RNAcentral's name for it is "aca-miR-5410-3p". The record is from miRBase by way of RNAcentral. Lineage: Eukaryota; Metazoa; Chordata; Lepidosauria; Squamata; Anolidae.